GAUGAAGAACGUAGCGAAACGCGAAAGGUAAUGCGAAUUGCAGAAUCAGUGAGUCAUCGAAUCUUUGAACGCACAUUGCGCCCCUUGGUAUUCCGGGGGGCACGCCUGUUCGAGCGCCAUUACACACCCCAAGCUAGGCUUGAUGUUGGGCGAUGUCUGUCACAGGACACGCCUGGAACGCAUGGGCGCCGCCGCCGGAUCACGAGUGUAGCAAGACGCAAGUCAUCGCUCGGUUGCUCCUGGGGGUCGGCCGCCACGGCACGCGGUAACACGGGGGCCAGUGUAUUCACGAGUUUGGCCUCGAAUCAGGCGGGGAUACCCGCUGAACUUAAGCAUAUCAAUAAGCGGAGGA
Molecule: unclassified non-coding RNA, 352 nt
Filed under: soil metagenome
Description: partial contains 5.8S ribosomal RNA, internal transcribed spacer 2, and large subunit ribosomal RNA
Rfam family: 5.8S ribosomal RNA (bases 1-119)
Source: RNAcentral